This 254-nucleotide ribosomal RNA is filed under the name uncultured bacterium. RNAcentral describes it as "partial 16S ribosomal RNA". It matches the Rfam family "Bacterial small subunit ribosomal RNA", at positions 524 to 776 of the family's 1533-position model. The record is from RNAcentral.
UACAGAGGGGGCAAGCGUUGUUCGGAAUUAUUGGGCGUAAAGGGCGCGUAGGCGGCGCGGUAAGUCACUUGUGAAAUCUCUGAGCUUAACUCAGAACGGCCAAGUGAUACUGCAGUGCUAGAGUGUGGAAGGGGCAAUCGGAAUUCUUGGUGUAGCGGUGAAAUGCGUAGAUAUCAAAGAGGAACACCUGAGGUGAAGACGGGUUGCUGGGCCAACACUGACGCUGAGGCGCGAAAGCCAGGGGAGCAAACGGG